RNAcentral lists this ribosomal RNA (434 nucleotides) under uncultured Oscillospiraceae bacterium. RNAcentral's name for it is "partial 16S ribosomal RNA". It matches the Rfam family "Bacterial small subunit ribosomal RNA", at positions 341 to 792 of the family's 1533-position model. Lineage: Bacteria; Bacillati; Bacillota; Clostridia; Eubacteriales; Oscillospiraceae. The record is from RNAcentral.
ACGGGAGGCAGCAGUGGGGGAUAUUGCACAAUGGAGGAGACUCUGAUGCAGCAACGCCGCGUGAAGGAAGAAGGCCUUCGGGUUGUAAACUUCUGUCCUUGGUGACGAUAAUGACGGUAGCCAAGGAGGAAGCCACGGCUAACUACGUGCCAGCAGCCGCGGUAAUACGUAGGUGGCAAGCGUUGUCCGGAAUUACUGGGUGUAAAGGGUGCGUAGGCGGCUCAUAAAGUCAGAUGUGAAAUACCGAGGCUUAACCUCGGAGCUGCAUUUGAAACUUAUGGGCUUGAGUGGAGUAGAGGUAAGCGGAAUGCCAAGUGUAGCGGUGAAAUGCGUAGAUAUUAGGAGGAACACCAGUGGCGAAGGCGGCUUACUGGGCUUUAACUGACGCUGAGGCACGAAAGCAUGGGUAGCAAACAGGAUUAGAUACCCUGGUA